GCUAGCUUAGUGUGAUUCCGUAGUGUCGUUCCAAGAACUUGAAUUAGCUAGCGUGCAACUAUAGUAUUCCUAACAAGGAAAAUACUUAUAAGUUUCUAAUUAAACGUAGAUAAACUACGUGUCCGAGCUCUACCGAGUCGUAAAUAAAACGACUCCACGAUGGUGUUGUUAGUUUGACUUAGAAUAACCGAUCAAUGGUUAUUUGAUCUCGUUUAUAAUUGGGAUAAAACUAAGUCUCGAGAUCGACUUAGUUUUCGAGUGAUUAAGAUAUAUAUUUAUAUAUAUUCGAAUAUAAAUAUAUACCUGCGAUGCCAUGUUGGUUGUCGUAAAUUAGAAAUCGUAGGUGAAUAGUAGUACAGCUCUUUCGAAGUGUCGUAUAUGACACCGUACUACGCCAUUGUAGUUUUCGUAGGAUGGAAAUGGAUAGAGAUAUACAUAUAUAUAUAUAUAUAUAUAUUCAAAACUCGAUGUUUGAAAUGAAUAUAAUCGACUAUACUCAUUUUAUAAAAAUAUACGUAUUCUAGACGAUUAAAAUAAAUAUAAAUAAUUAUAUUUAUUUUUUUAUGAUUUUCCGAAUAUUAAAUGUUUGAAAUAGCUUACGAAUUUCAUCGUUUGAAAUAAAUAUAAAACAUUAUAUUUAUUUUUAUAAAAGUAUACGAAGCACGUUGUUUGAAAUAAGUAUAACUAAUGAUACUUAUGUCGUAAAAGCAUUCGAGUUUCAAUGCGUUUCGAAAUACAUAUAAAUUUUCGAGUUUCGUUGAUUAGUAUUCCGUUUGUUCUUCGUGUCGAAACGCCGAAAAGGGUUUACUGAGCUGACCGAGUCAACCGGGUUGACCCGCUGAGUUGACUUGCUAUGUUGACUGAGUUUGACCGGGUUGACUCGGUUUGACCGAGUCAACCGAACCGAAGCUGAAUCUGAC
RNAcentral lists this long non-coding RNA (920 nucleotides) under Helianthus annuus (common sunflower). Its description in RNAcentral is "sRNA HanXRQr2_Chr11g0517681". The record is from RNAcentral. Lineage: Eukaryota; Viridiplantae; Streptophyta; Magnoliopsida; Asterales; Asteraceae.